Molecule: non-coding RNA, 111 nt
Filed under: Gorilla gorilla gorilla (western lowland gorilla)
Lineage: Eukaryota; Metazoa; Chordata; Mammalia; Primates; Hominidae
Source: Rfam by way of RNAcentral
GCCAGGCAUGGUGGCUCAUGCCUGUAAUCCCAGCACUUUGGGAGGCUGAGGUGGGCAGAUCACUGGAGGUCAGGAGUUCAGCCUGGCCAACACAGUGAAACCCCACCUCUA